RNAcentral lists this non-coding RNA (210 nucleotides) under Heterocephalus glaber (naked mole-rat). The record is from RNAcentral. Lineage: Eukaryota; Metazoa; Chordata; Mammalia; Rodentia; Bathyergidae.
CUGAUUUGGGAAAGCGGCUGUCCUUAGACCUUUGGAGGGGCAGCAAAGAGGGAAACAGGGGCAGCUGGGAAGAAAACCUGUAGUCUUUCUUCCACUGUACCCUGAAAAGAUUCACUGGGGUUGACUAGUUCCUCAUUUAAAGGAUUUAGGUCAAAAUGGGAUGAGCGCUAGCCUGGAAGUCAGAAGACCUGCAACCUCAUUCCAGCUCUG